ACUUAAGCAUAUCAAUAAGCGGAGGAAAAGAAACCAACAGGGAUUGCCCUAGUAACGGCGAGUGAAGCGGCAACAGCUCAAAUUUGAAAUCUGGCUCUUUCAGAGUCCGAGUUGUAAUUUGCAGAGGGCGCUUUGGCUUUGGCAGCGGUCCAAGUUCCUUGGAACAGGACGUCACAGAGGGUGAGAAUCCCGUACGUGGUCGCUAGCUAUUGCCGUGUAAAGCCCCUUCGACGAGUCGAGUUGUUUGGGAAUGCAGCUCUAAAUGGGAGGUAAAUUUCUUCUAAAGCUAAAUAUUGGCCAGAGACCGAUAGCGCACAAGUAGAGUGAUCGAAAGAUGAAAAGCACUUUGGAAAGAGAGUCAAACAGCACGUGAAAUUGUUGAAAGGGAAGCGCUUGCAGCCAGACUUGCUUGCAGUUGCUCAUCCGGGCUUUUGCCCGGUGCACUCUUCUGCAGGCAGGCCAGCAUCAGUUUGGGCGGUGGGAUAAAGGUCUCUGUCAUGUACCUCUCUUCGGGGAGGCCUUAUAGGGGAGGCGACAUACCACCAGCCUAGACUGAGGUCCGCGCAUCUGCUAGGAUGCUGGCGUAAUGGCUGUAAGCGGCCCGUCUUGAAACACGGACCAAGGAGUCUAACAUCUAUGCGAGUGUUUGGGUGUCAAGCCCGAGCGCGUAAUGAAAGUGAACGGAGGUGGGAACCCGCAAGGGUGCACCAUCGACCGAUCCUGAAGUUUACGGAAGGAUUUGAGUAAGAGCAUGGCUGUUGGGACCCGAAAGAUGGUGAACUAUGCUUGAAUAGGGUGAAGCCAGAGGAAACUCUGGUGGAGGCUCGCAGCGGUUCUGACGUGCAAAUCGAUCGUCAAAUUUGGGCAUAGGGCGAAAGACUA
This 882-nucleotide ribosomal RNA is filed under the name Exserohilum rostratum. RNAcentral's name for it is "eukaryotic LSU rRNA". It matches the Rfam family "Eukaryotic large subunit ribosomal RNA", at positions 32 to 933 of the family's 3401-position model. Lineage: Eukaryota; Fungi; Ascomycota; Dothideomycetes; Pleosporales; Pleosporaceae. The record is from RNAcentral.